UACGAAGGGUGCAAACGUUGCUCGGAAUUAUUGGGCGUAAAGCGCACGUAGGCGGCUUAGCAAGUCGGAAGUGAAAAGCCCCUCGGCUCAACCAAGGAAGUGCUUUCGAAACUGCUGAGCUUGAGUACUUAAGAGGAUCGCGGAAUUCCCGGUGUAGAGGUGAAAUUCGUAGAUAUCGGGAGGAACACCAGUGGCGAAGGCGGCGAUCUGGGAAGAUACUGACGCUGAGGUGCGAAAGCGUGGGGAGCGAUCCGG
Molecule: ribosomal RNA, 255 nt
Filed under: uncultured bacterium
Lineage: Bacteria
Description: partial 16S ribosomal RNA
Rfam family: Bacterial small subunit ribosomal RNA
Source: RNAcentral